Long non-coding RNA from Parus major (Great Tit), 737 nucleotides. RefSeq lists it as uncharacterized. NCBI's taxonomy places the organism in Eukaryota, Metazoa, Chordata, Aves, Passeriformes, Paridae. The transcript has 3 exons. The record is from RefSeq and is a predicted model, not a curated record.
UGGAAAAAACCCUCCUGGCAGUGUUGGGCCAUUUUGCUAUGGAAAGAUCCAGCAUCUGAUUUCAUCUCCCUCCUUCCGAGCUGUAGAUGGGACAUCCCAGAGGUCUCCUGCUCCAUCUCUUUAACACUUUGCCUUCCUCCCCAUCCCUGUUUCAGCCUGAGAGGUGGGAGAAAAGACACCUGGAGAAAAAAGUUGUCUUGGAAGAUGAUUCCUGCGAGGGUGGGUUUGGGCUGUGUGUGGAGAGCAGCUCUGCCAUGUGAGGAGCUGCCCCUGCUGCUGCUGGAGACAAGGCAGACGGGAUGUAAACCACCCCAAACUUUUGGUGUGGUGACAACUGCAAAUGCAACAAUAAGCGUUGAAAUGUGAAAUAAACCAGCAAAACCAAACAAGAAAAACCUCCUCCCACCUAAAACGUUGCAUUUUAGGAGGAUGCAAAAUGGGUGGCUAUGUGCUGGUCUCGAGGACAUUUCCCCCCAUCCCACCAGGAGCGGCCUUGAAGAGCUCUGAGUGCAUCAUCUCCAGAACAUCCCGACCCAGAGGUUAAUUCCAUGUGGUGCCAGGGCCAUUGAAGAAAACUCAAAUUUCCUCAAAAGGAACCUGGUUCCUCCCCCUGCAUCACAUCCAUUGGUUAUGGAAAGCAGAGGCACCAUGUGCUCCCCUGGGAUUCAGGCCAGGUCUGCACAUUUGGGGAUGAUUCCUCGUGCAGGAGGGUGAAGAAAUAAAGUGUGGAUUCAUAC